UACGAAGGGAGCUAGCGUUGUUCGGAAUCACUGGGCGUAAAGCGCACGUAGGCGGAUGUGUCAGUCAGGGGUGAAAUCCCGGAGCUCAACUUCGGAACUGCCCUUGAUACAGCACGUCUUGAGUCCGGAAGAGGUGGGUGGAAUUCCUAGUGUAGAGGUGAAAAUUCGUAGAUAUUAGGAAGAACACCGGUGGCGAAGGCGGCCCACUGGUCCGGUACUGACGCUGAGGUGCGAAAGCGUGGGGAGCAAACAGG
This 254-nucleotide ribosomal RNA is filed under the name uncultured bacterium. Its description in RNAcentral is "partial 16S ribosomal RNA". It matches the Rfam family "Bacterial small subunit ribosomal RNA", at positions 524 to 776 of the family's 1533-position model. The record is from RNAcentral.